This 568-nucleotide ribosomal RNA is filed under the name Diderma crustaceum. RNAcentral's name for it is "SSU rRNA". It matches the Rfam family "Eukaryotic small subunit ribosomal RNA", at positions 28 to 537 of the family's 1831-position model. Lineage: Eukaryota; Evosea; Eumycetozoa; Physariida; Didymiaceae. The record is from RNAcentral.
AUGCUUCUCCUAAAGACUAAGCCAUGCAUGCUUUCGAAUAAGAGGAAGCAAUUCUCUCUGAAUCUGCGAACGGCUCCGCAAACCAGUUGUAAACUAUAGCAAGCACGCUCAGGCUUGGCCGCAAGGCUGGGUCGGGGCAACAUGGAUAACCCUGGUAAUUCUGAGGCUAAUACAAGAACGUAACUCUCGGCUGACCUUCACGGGAAGGCCGGGGGAUGUGUGUACGAUACGCGAAGACUAACCGAGAAAGGGCACACGUCAGGACCGCGCUACAAAGGACAUGGUGGACACCAGCCUCACGGCUGGCCGAAGCCUUGCCCCAGCGGCUCUUGCUGUGUGCUUCUGACCUAUCAACAAGUCGGCAGCGUAACGGACAUGCCAUGGUGACAACGGGUACAGAGGAUUAGGGUUCGAUCCUGGAGAGUGGGCCUGAGAGAUUGCUCAUACUUCUAAGGAAGGCAGCAGGCGCGCAACGUUCCCCUUGGGCAAUGCUUGAGGGCGUUAGGGGACAUAUGAAUGCCUGCCAAUACGGUGGGCAAUUCAAAUGGGUCUGUUCUAAACAGCCUCU